UGCAAGUCGAACGCAACCUUCGGGUGAGUGGCAGACGGGUGAGUAACGCGUGGGAACCUUCCCUGUGGUACGGAACAGCUCCGGGAAACUGGAAUUAAUACCGUAUACGCCCUUCGGGGGAAAGAUUUAUCGCCAUAGGAUGGGCCCGCGUCGGAUUAGCUAGUUGGUAAGGUAACGGCUUACCAAGGCAACGAUCCGUAGCUGGUCUUAGAGGAUGAUCAGCCACACUGGGACUGAGACACGGCCCAG
RNAcentral lists this ribosomal RNA (249 nucleotides) under uncultured bacterium. RNAcentral's name for it is "partial 16S ribosomal RNA". It matches the Rfam family "Bacterial small subunit ribosomal RNA", at positions 56 to 334 of the family's 1533-position model. The record is from RNAcentral.